AGAGUUUGAUCCUGGCUCAGAACGAACGCUGGCGGCGUGCCUAAUACAUGCAAGUAGAACGCUGAAGAGAGGAGCUUGCUCUUCUUGGAUGAGUUGCGAACGGGUGAGUAACGCGUAGGUAACCUGCCUUGUAGCGGGGGAUAACUAUUGGAAACGAUAGCUAAUACCGCAUAACAAUGGAUGACACAUGUCAUUUAUUUGAAAGGGGCAAUUGCUCCACUACAAGAUGGACCUGCGUUGUAUUAGCUAGUAGGUGAGGUAAUGGCUCACCUAGGCGACGAUACAUAGCCGACCUGAGAGGGUGAUCGGCCACACUGGGACUGAGACACGGCCCAGACUCCUACGGGAGGCAGCAGUAGGGAAUCUUCGGCAAUGGGGGCAACCCUGACCGAGCAACGCCGCGUGAGUGAAGAAGGUUUUCGGAUCGUAAAGCUCUGUUGUAAGUCAAGAACGGGUGUGAGAGUGGAAAGUUCACACUGUGACGGUAGCUUACCAGAAAGGGACGGCUAACUACGUGCCAGCAGCCGCGGUAAUACGUAGGUCCCGAGCGUUGUCCGGAUUUAUUGGGCGUAAAGCGAGCGCAGGCGGUUUGAUAAGUCUGAAGUUAAAGGCUGUGGCUCAACCAUAGUUCGCUUUGGAAACUGUCAAACUUGAGUGCAGAAGGGGAGAGUGGAAUUCCAUGUGUAGCGGUGAAAUGCGUAGAUAUAUGGAGGAACACCGGUGGCGAAAGCGGCUCUCUGGUCUGUAACUGACGCUGAGGCUCGAAAGCGUGGGGAGCGAACAGGAUUAGAUACCCUGGUAGUCCACGCCGUAAACGAUGAGUGCUAGGUGUUGGAUCCUUUCCGGGAUUCAGUGCCGCAGCU
RNAcentral lists this ribosomal RNA (863 nucleotides) under uncultured bacterium. Its description in RNAcentral is "bacterial SSU rRNA". It matches the Rfam family "Bacterial small subunit ribosomal RNA", at positions 8 to 853 of the family's 1533-position model. The record is from RNAcentral.